UGUGGUAUUAUUCAGUCUUAUCUUUUAGGGGUUGAUAUUGGUUAUAUUCUUUAUGACAUUCAAAAAGAUUCAAAUAAAAUCUCUUUUACCUUUAACCUUUGAGUUAAUUUCAAGACAGUAAUGGUCAAGUCAUAUAUUCAGGAACCAGCUUCAGUCAGGAGGAACAUAUAGUUCUGUUGUAGCAAUUCUGAAGCAAGGGAUAGAAUGGAUUUAGAAAUUGGAAGGUUUGAAAGUGUCCUCUCAUCAUGAGAUGCCUGCAGGCAGAGUGUUCAUUAUCCUAUCACAACUGUAUCAAAGAAAACUGCAGUAUGUCAGUGGCCUUGACAGGAUAAAUAAAUGAUUUUCUAAACAGCUCUUUGUUUCUGAUCGGUUCAUAAACUGUAUGUUUAAUUCCAAGGUCAGCAGAAAUCACAUCCUGGCAGGCUGUGUUAAGUAACCUGAGUCUUGCAAUUUGGAGUCAUGGUCAGAUUUAUGGUUCAGAGGAGAAUGAGUAGAAUAGGUCAGUGGAAAGAUACAGACUGGAAAUUAAGAGACCUGGACUCUCAUAGAUGGGUCAUCGUAGCCUUUGAAUCACCCUAGGCAUGUUGCAGAAUCAUAGUUUCUGCAGUCAACCAUAAAAUGGGGGAGUUAGACCAGAUGAAAACAUGACUCAUGUUUCACUAUAUCCUAUUGCAAUGAUUCAUGGUGAUUCUCUAAACCAUGAGCAAAAUAAAAAAGAGAGGAGACUAUAGGAAAACCCC
RNAcentral lists this long non-coding RNA (740 nucleotides) under Mus musculus (house mouse). RNAcentral's name for it is "long non-coding RNA chr7:91689468-91690208". Lineage: Eukaryota; Metazoa; Chordata; Mammalia; Rodentia; Muridae. The record is from RNAcentral.